Molecule: ribosomal RNA, 305 nt
Filed under: uncultured bacterium
Lineage: Bacteria
Description: bacterial SSU rRNA
Rfam family: Bacterial small subunit ribosomal RNA
Source: RNAcentral
UGUGUCCUACGGGGCGCAGCGGUGAGGAAUAUUGGUCAAUGGGCUUACGCCUGAACCAGCCAAGUCGCGUGAGGGAAGACUGCCCUAUGGGUUGUAAACCUCUUUUGUCAGGGAGCAACGCCGGCUACGUGUAGCCGGACUGAGAGUACCUGAAGAAAAAGCAUCGGCUAACUCCGUGCCAGCAGCCGCGGUAAUACGGAGGAUGCGAGCGUUAUCCGGAUUUAUUGGGUUUAAAGGGUGCGCAGGCGGGGUUUUAAGUCAGCGGUCAAAUCGUGGGGGUCAACCCCAUCCAGCCGUUGAAACUG